GCCGCGUUCGUCUAGUCUGGUCUAGGACGCCGCCCUUUCACGGCGGUAACACGGGUUCGAAUCCCGUACGCGGUA
This 75-nucleotide transfer RNA is filed under the name Longibacter salinarum. It matches the Rfam family "tRNA". Rfam says of the family: Transfer RNA (tRNA) molecules are approximately 80 nucleotides in length. Their secondary structure includes four short double-helical elements and three loops (D, anti-codon, and T loops). The record is from Rfam by way of RNAcentral. RNAcentral also lists the same sequence under 2 other names. Lineage: Bacteria; Pseudomonadati; Rhodothermota; Rhodothermia; Rhodothermales; Salisaetaceae.